GAGGNGGACGGCCCCACACUGGGACUGAGACACGGCCCAGACUCCUACGGAAGGCAGCAG
This 60-nucleotide ribosomal RNA is filed under the name uncultured bacterium. RNAcentral's name for it is "partial 16S ribosomal RNA". The record is from RNAcentral.